Molecule: ribosomal RNA, 448 nt
Filed under: uncultured bacterium
Lineage: Bacteria
Description: bacterial SSU rRNA
Rfam family: Bacterial small subunit ribosomal RNA
Source: RNAcentral
UCGGGAAUUUUGGGCAAUGGGCGAAAGCCUGACCCAGCAACGCCGCGUGAAGGAUGAAGUAUUUCGGUAUGUAAACUUCGAAAGAAUAGGAAGAAUAAAUGACGGUACUAUUUAUAAGGUCCGGCUAACUACGUGCCAGCAGCCGCGGUAAUACGUAGGGACCAAGCGUUGUUCGGAUUUACUGGGCGUAAAGGGCGCGUAGGCGGCAUGACAAGUCACUUGUGAAAUCUCUGGGCUUAACCCAGAACGGCCAAGUGAUACUGUCGCGCUAGAGUGCAGAAGGGGCAAUCGGAAUUCUUGGUGUAGCGGUGAAAUGCGUAGAUAUCAAGAGGAACACCUGAGGUGAAGACGGGUUGCUGGGCUGACACUGACGCUGAGGCGCGAAAGCCAGGGGAGCAAACGGGGAUUAGAUACCCCCGUAGUCCCUGAGCGGGCUGGCAAGGCGCAU